RNAcentral lists this unclassified non-coding RNA (299 nucleotides) under Glomus sp. RNAcentral describes it as "partial contains 5.8S ribosomal RNA and internal transcribed spacer 2". The stretch from base 1 to 65 matches the Rfam family "5.8S ribosomal RNA", at positions 84 to 154 of the family's 154-position model. The record is from RNAcentral. Lineage: Eukaryota; Fungi; Glomeromycota; Glomeromycetes; Glomerales; Glomeraceae.
GUGAAUCAUCAAAUUUUUGAACGCAAAUUGCACUCUCUUCGGAGAGUAUGCCUGUUUGAUGGUCAGCCUAAAAAAAAUCGACAUAGUUGCUGUUUCGCAUUGACAUUCGUCGGAAAUUGGGUCAUCUUAAACCUUUGUGUUUUAAGCGGCUUAAAAUUUUCUUUACGAUUCCACGAACGUUUCUAAAAUUCACUUCUUACGUUUAAGGUAUCGAUUUUUAUUAGACGUGUCCGCUGCAUCUGGUUACGUCCAUAAAUAUUUCGUUAACUGACCUCAUACAGUUAAGAACACCCGCUGAC